AUAAUAAUAAUACACUUAAUUUUUCAGGAAUUAAAUAUUCUUGCCGAAAAACAUUCUGAUGCCCAGAAAACUAAAAGUUCACUUAAUGAUCAAUUAAUUCAAAAUAAUGCAAUACAAGAAACACAUAAGGAAAUAAAUAUUUUUUCAAAAAAUCAAAUAAAGUUACUAGGCCUUGUUUCAAUAUUCUUAAGCAUUCAUCCUUUUGGAACUUGUAUCGAAAAUGUUGUAAGCUAUAUUAGAAAUGUAGA
Molecule: long non-coding RNA, 248 nt
Organism: Sipha flava (yellow sugarcane aphid)
Lineage: Eukaryota; Metazoa; Arthropoda; Insecta; Hemiptera; Aphididae
Exons: 2
Source: RefSeq, a predicted model, not a curated record